UUGAAAUNNNNNNGAUGAGUUGAUGCUGGUUCUCUAGGGAGCAUGUGCACACUUGACAUUUUUAUAUAUACUCCACCUGUGCACCUUGUGUAGACCUGGAUAUCUAUCUAAAUGCUAGGUUUGGGGUUUGGCUUCAUGUCUUUCCUUACAUUUCUAGGUCUAUGUUGUAUUCAAUACAUCCCAAUGUAUGUCAGUGAAUGUAAUCUUUAUGGGCCUUUGCACCUAUAAAUCUAUACAACUUUCAGCAACGGAUCUCUUGGCUCUCGCAUCGAUGAAGAACGCAGCGAAAUGCGUUAAGUAAUGUGAAUUGCAGAAUUCAGUGAAUCAUCGAAUCUUUGAACGCACCUUGCGCUUCUUGGUAUUCCGAGGAGCAUGCCUGUUUGAGUGUCAUUAAUAUAUAUAUCAAUCUCUUCAAUGAGUUAUUGGAUGGGUGGGGGUUUGCUGGUCUUCUCAAGGUCAGCUCCCCUGAAAUGCAUUAGAGGAACAAGUUGUGGACCGUUCAUUAGUGUGAUAAUUUAAUCUACACUAUUGACGGAAGCCAGUUUCAGUUUUUCAUUAGUAAAUUUCAUUAA
This 572-nucleotide ribosomal RNA is filed under the name Phlegmacium subfoetidum. RNAcentral's name for it is "eukaryotic LSU rRNA". The stretch from base 237 to 390 matches the Rfam family "5.8S ribosomal RNA". The record is from RNAcentral. Lineage: Eukaryota; Fungi; Basidiomycota; Agaricomycetes; Agaricales; Cortinariaceae.